UACGUAGGGCGCAAGCGUUGUCCGGAAUUAUUGGGCGUAAAGAGCUCGUAGGUGGCUUGUUGCGUCUGCCGUGAAAGCCCGUGGCUUAACUACGGGUCUGCGGUGGAUACGGGCAGGCUAGAGGCUGGUAGGGGCAAGCGGAAUUCCUGGUGUAGCGGUGGAAUGCGCAGAUAUCAGGAAGAACACCAACGGCGAAGGCAGCUCGCUGGGACGGUACUGACGCUGAGACGCGAAAGCGUGGGGAGCGAACAGG
This 253-nucleotide ribosomal RNA is filed under the name uncultured bacterium. Its description in RNAcentral is "partial 16S ribosomal RNA". It matches the Rfam family "Bacterial small subunit ribosomal RNA", at positions 524 to 776 of the family's 1533-position model. The record is from RNAcentral.